CCUACGGGAGGCAGCAGUGAGGAAUAUUGGUCAAUGGGCGGCAGCCUGAACCAGACAAGUAGCGUGCAGGAUGACGGCCCUACGGGUUGUAAACUGCUUUUAUACGGGAAUAACGCGCCUUACGUGUAGGGCUUUGCAUGUACCGUAUGAAUAAGGACCGGCUAAUUCCGUGCCAGCAGCCGCGGUAAUACGGAAGGUCCGGGCGUUAUCCGGAUUUAUUGGGUUUAAAGGGAGCUUAGGCCGCAUGUCAAGCGUGCUGUGAGAUGUCCGGACUCAACCCGGGCCUUGCAGCGCGAACUGGCGUGCUUGAGUCCGCGGAAAGCAGGCGGAAUUCGUCGUGUAGCGGUGAAAGGCUUAGAUAUGACGAAGAACCCCGAUUGCGAAGGCAGCUUGCUGCAGCGGAACUGACGCUGAUGCUCGAAAGCGCGGGUAUCGAACAGGAUUAGAUACCCUAGUAGUC
RNAcentral lists this ribosomal RNA (460 nucleotides) under uncultured bacterium. RNAcentral describes it as "partial 16S ribosomal RNA". It matches the Rfam family "Bacterial small subunit ribosomal RNA", at positions 338 to 795 of the family's 1533-position model. The record is from RNAcentral.